Molecule: transfer RNA, 73 nt
Filed under: Fidelibacterota bacterium
Lineage: Bacteria; Pseudomonadati; Fidelibacterota
Also listed under: 1 other name
Description: tRNA-Thr
Rfam family: tRNA
About the family: Transfer RNA (tRNA) molecules are approximately 80 nucleotides in length. Their secondary structure includes four short double-helical elements and three loops (D, anti-codon, and T loops). Further hydrogen bonds mediate the characteristic L-shaped molecular structure. tRNAs have two regions of fundamental functional importance: the anti-codon, which is responsible for specific mRNA codon recognition, and the 3' end, to which the tRNAs corresponding amino acid is attached (by aminoacyl-tRNA synthetases). tRNAs cope with the degeneracy of the genetic code in two manners: having more than one tRNA (with a specific anti-codon) for a particular amino acid; and 'wobble' base-pairing, i.e. permitting non-standard base-pairing at the 3rd anti-codon position.
Source: RNAcentral
GCCACCGUAGCUCAGUUGGUAGAGCAACUGAUUUGUAAUCAGUCGGUCGGGGGUUCGAGUCCCUUCGGUGGCU